UGCGUCUUCUUUCUGCACUUGUGCAAGUUGGAGAAGGGACCUCAACCUUUGGCCUUGCUCUGGUGUGGUCAUGGACUGGUGUCAGCAAAGAGCCAGCCGUUACCCAUGCUUUCCUGGCUCCAGGGUUCAGUAGGCGACAGUCCAGCAUUAACUUGCUUUCUUAAAGGAACCUAAACCACCAGAAGAACCAGCUUCUCAGCCAGCCAAUGUAGAGCUGUCUUUUGAUACCAGCUGGGGAUGUGGAUAGAGGCAUGUUCUGCAAACAUCAGAGCAGAACACUGUAAAAGCUUCGUCCCACCUGGAAGAUCAAUUUGAAAUGGAUCCUGUGGUGUGUCAGGUGUUGUCCAGAGAGCUUGACAGUGGAAAGAACAGUGACUGUGGUACCGUUGGUCAAGCCAGUGCGUCUGUUUUUGGUAGAGCGGCUGAUGAGGCCACCGGUGCAGUGAAAUCAUAAACCCCAGAGGAAACUUCUCUGGAGAAUCCAAACAAUGUGUUUGGAGAGCUCCAGCAUGCUGAGCAGGGGCUCAGUGCCACAGCAGUACUUGGUGGCCUGCAGGUUUCCCCUCUGCCAGGCUUCGGCACAUAAACCCUCUAGAAAUUUCUCAGCAGUCAGACUGCAGCACUUACAUGCCCUACGCGUGGUUGUUUCCUGACCUGGGAGGAGUCAGCAGGGAAAGAGACCAAUGCAGAGAACAAGAUCUAAUAUGGAGCCGAUGACCUACAAUGGAGUUUCAUCAGGGACUGCGCAAAUCUGAAAUGGAAGGUGGCAGGAACUCCAGAGAAAUCACCGUCUGCCUCAGUGCAGGAGACAAAUAGAUUGGCCAGCAGAGGCAGGGAAGAAGGCAGUGGAUAACCCUGUUUCAAAGCUACUCAGCCACAAAAUGCAUGCUCAUUCUCCAAGUGCUCUUGGACAGCCCUUUCUGGACCUGUACAGACCACCUGAAGAUCGUGCUCCCUCUACCUCCUCCAGGGAGUUUCUGCUGCCAGAGGAGAGCAUAUGAGCGUCAGGGUACAGUCACUGCUGUGUCGUCUACACUGUCUUCACUCAUGUGGGGUUAAAUUGACCCCUCUGAUCCUGCACAGAGCUGAGGGAGGCAUGCACAGGUGUGGAGGCUGAGCAGUGAGGAUGGGUUCCUCACCUGAGAAGACAGGCUUACAUUGAUUCAGCUGAAGUGAAUUCUGUGGCGCAUUCUAAGCAAGCUACAAUCCAUCGAAGUCGAUCUGCACCAGUUUAACUAAUAAAUCAGCUGAAAUUUCUGAU
This is a long non-coding RNA of Dromaius novaehollandiae (emu), 1261 nucleotides long. RefSeq lists it as uncharacterized. NCBI's taxonomy places the organism in Eukaryota, Metazoa, Chordata, Aves, Casuariiformes, Dromaiidae. The transcript is spliced from 6 exons. The record is from RefSeq and is a predicted model, not a curated record.